GAGACUUUAGUUUAAAGGUAGAACAUGUGACUUUUAAUCAUUAUCAUAUGGGUUCAAGUCCCAUAAGUCUUA
This 72-nucleotide transfer RNA is filed under the name Aspergillus chevalieri. It matches the Rfam family "tRNA". From Rfam's summary of the family: Transfer RNA (tRNA) molecules are approximately 80 nucleotides in length. Their secondary structure includes four short double-helical elements and three loops (D, anti-codon, and T loops). Lineage: Eukaryota; Fungi; Ascomycota; Eurotiomycetes; Eurotiales; Aspergillaceae. The record is from Rfam by way of RNAcentral.